CAGCCGUAAACUAUGCGCGUUAGGUGUAUCGGUGACCACGAGUUACCGAGGUGCCGAAGGGAAACCGUGAAACGUGCCGCCUGGGAAGUACGGUCGCAAGGCUGAAACUUAAAGGGAAUUGGCGGGGGAGCACCACAACAGGUGGAGCCUGCGGUUUAAUUGGACUCAACGCCGGGAAGCUCACCGGAUAGGACAGCAGAAUGAUUGCCGGGCUGAAGACCCUGCAUGACUAGCUGAGAGGUGGUGCAUGGCGUCAGUGACU
RNAcentral lists this ribosomal RNA (262 nucleotides) under uncultured archaeon. RNAcentral's name for it is "partial 16S ribosomal RNA". It matches the Rfam family "Archaeal small subunit ribosomal RNA", at positions 748 to 1008 of the family's 1478-position model. The record is from RNAcentral.